Molecule: long non-coding RNA, 6109 nt
Filed under: Physcomitrium patens
Lineage: Eukaryota; Viridiplantae; Streptophyta; Bryopsida; Funariales; Funariaceae
Description: long non-coding RNA (PPAT_LNC011354)
Source: RNAcentral
AUUACCUAUAUGAAUAGAUAAAAGUAUGUAAAAGUAGAUAAAAGUAGGUUAAUUGUGUAAUAUCUUCUAGAGAAGCUUCUUAGAAGCUUCAUAGACGCUACUUUGACUUUAUAGGAGUCUAUAGUUGACUUUUAGGUUAGAAACUUGGUCAACAAGUUAGCCAUGUGCCACACAUGUUGGAAGCUUAAAGAACAAGCUAACUACGUGGUCCAUCCAUAGAAAACUUGCCUUGCAAGCAAAGGCAUGUGGCCUAGAAAGUCAACAUAUAUUGGAGGUCUUAUAGAACAUCGCCACGUGGCCCCUAGUUAGAUAGUAUAUAUAGAGACAAGAGUGAAGGCUUCUUCACUCUUGUCAACUCCUUUCUUGCUUCUAGUCCAGGUUCAAGAGUCUUUAGUUUCUUGUCUUUUGGCAAUAGCCAUUCCAGUUUCCUUUUAAUAUACCUACUUGUUUAUAUUUUGACUUAUAAUAUCGAGAUAGCCUUUUGGUGUAUAUUUUUCCUCAUCGAGUCUUUGUCCUUGACAGAUUGACAAGAGUACACUUACAAUAUCAGAGCUUUGUUUUUUCUUGAGUAAGAGUGGAUUACCCCUUUCUCUUGACAAGACAUAAGCGUAUUAGAAGUUUGCGGAUUACCCACUUCUAAACUGAUAUUGUUCUUAGUAUCUUCUUUGUUAUCAAGUCUUUCUUUUCUUCUGUCUUGAGCAAUAUCAAACAAAUUUUUCUUCUUAGUGUCAUUAUGGCAGAGCUUGUUGAAAUGAAGAGUGCAAUGGCACAAAUGCAAGAGCAAAUGAGGGAGUUAAUGCUUGCGAUGCAUCAACUCAAUUCACCAACACAGGAAAGAACAAGAAUGGCAAAAAGUGGGGAUAUAGAGAUGAUCGGAGCUGCUUCAACAUCUACAACAAAUCACGUUCCUUCUCCAAUUGUACAACACCCUGUAAGCACUAGAGAACCAAGAAUUGCUUUACCCGAGAAAUUUGAUGGUACGAGAUCAAAGUUUCGAGGGUUCAUCAAUCAAGUACAAUUGGUAAUUGAACUUCAACCGCAAAGCUAUCCAACUCCAGGAUCACAAGUCAGGUUUAUUGGCACUCUACUUUCUGGUUCUGCAUUAUCGUGGUUUUCGUCUUUUCUUGAACAACGAAAUCCAAUAUUGGACAAUUUGGAAGCUUUUUUGGCGGAGUUUCGAUCUAUGUAUGGUGAACACGAUGCAACUCGUGUUGCAACAAAUAAGAUCCGAAUUCUGCAACAAGGAAAUCGCUCAGUAACAGUAUAUGCUUCACAAUUUUGACAACUUGUAAUUGACAUCAAGUGGGAUGAUGCUGCACUCAUCAGUCAAUUUCUUUAUGGAUUGCAAUACGAAGUAAAGAAAUUGAUGCUCAACUUACCUGAUCCUCAAACUUUGAGUCAAGCAAUCGAUUUUGCGGUAAAAUGUGAUAAUCGACUUUUUGAAUUUCGAUCUGAGAAUCAUUCACGGGAACCUCAACGUUAUUACUCAAUGGCAACAUCAACAUCUUUGCCAAACGUACAUUCGGAAGUAGAAGACAUGCAAAUUGACGCGGUACGUUUUAAACCCCUAACUGAGCAAGAAAAGAUUCAUCGUCGUCAAGAAGGAUUAUCUUUAUAUUGCGGAGAACCUAAGUACACUGCUCAACAUUGUCCAAAAAAAUGACGCAACUAAAAAAUGAGGGGUACGACGGUCAAAGAAGACAACAUGUCGGAAAACGGAUUCGUCCAGCUACAAUAGGGACCUUGCAGCUGGAACCUUGUACAAUUCCUAAUGAAGGUCCUAUCCUCUCCUCAGAACCCUCUCCUUGUUUUAUAAUAGACUUAUAUUUAGGACCUAAGAAUUACAAAGCCUCUGCUUUAUUAGAUUCGAGAGCCUCAACAUGUUUUUUAGAUGAACAAUUUGUUAAAAGUCGUAAAAUACCCUAUGUACACAAACCUAAACCAAUACAUGUAGAAGUCAUAGAUGGUCGUCCCUUGUCUUCUGGAGAUGUCACUCAUGAAACUCAUCCUAUAAAAGUAACAAUAGACGGUCAUGAUAGCUACAUAGCUUUUAACAUAAUUAAAUCCCCGUCUAAUCCAGUUAUUUUAGGUUUAUCCUGGCUAGAAAAAUAUAACCCUCGAAUAGAUUGGAAUUCGCGUAAACUUGACUUUUCCAAAAGCGUUAUUAAUAGUUCUAUGAACCAAGUAAAAAAUUAUAAGUCUAGUACAGUAAAACCCGUACUGAUAGGUGCAAAAGCAUUUAUACACGCAGCAAAAGAAGGAUCAACUUUUGCUAUUUAUGCUGCACCUAUUUCUGAAAACGUAAAGACUUCAAGUGGCAUUCCAAGUCAAUAUCAGGAGUAUCAAGACGUUUUUGAGAAAAAGAAUGCAGAUAUUCUUCCUGAGCAUCGUCCAUAUGAUUGUUCAAUCGACCUCAAGGAAGGAACUCAGCCACCAUUUGGACCAAUUUACAGUUUAUCGCAAGAUGAGAUGGCUGAACUCAAGACAUAUAUUGACGAGAAUUUAGCGAAGAAUUUCAUACGCCAUUCAAAAUCUCCAGCAGGAGCUCCAAUUCUAUUCGUAAAGAAAAAAGAUGGAUCUUUACGAAUGUGUGUUGAUUAUCGAGGACUCAACAAGAUCACAAUCAAGAACAGGUAUCCAUUACCUUUGAUAUCAGGACUCCUUGACCAGUUGAAUCAAGCUAAGAUCUAUACAAAAAUAGAUCUAAGAGGAGCAUAUAAUCUAGUACGGAUCAAAGAAGGAGAUGAAAGGAAGACUGCAUUUCGAACCAGGUAUGGACAUUUUGAAUAUAAUGUCAUGCCCUUUGGACUCACAAAUGCACCAGCUGCUUUUCAACAUCUCAUGAAUGAUGUAUUUCGUGACUUCUUAGACAAUUUUGUCGUCUGCUACCUAGACGAUAUCCUGAUCUAUUCUAACAACGUCGAAGAACAUGAAAUACAUGUUCGUCAAGUAUUACAAAAACUUAGAGAUGCAGGAUUGUACGCCAAGAUGGAAAAGUGUGUAUUUCACACUAUUCAAGUUGAUUUUUUAGGAUACAUCAUUUCAAAUGAUGGUCUCAUGAUGGAUUCUAAGAAAGUCCAAACAAUCGUGGAUUGGAAGAUUCCAAGGACAGUAAGAGAUGUUCAAUGUUUCUUGGGAUUUGCGAAUUACUAUCGGAUCUUCAUCAAAGAUUUCUCACGAGUUGGAGCUCCACUUACACGCUUGACUAGUAAAGAUAAAUUUCAAUGGAAUCAAGAAGCGGAAGCAGCAUUUGAAGCCUUGAAGACAUCGUUUGUCUCUGCACCAGUCUUAUAUUGUGUUGACUUUUCCAAGACAUUUUUUAUGGAAACAGAUGCAUCAGAUUUUGCCUUGGGUGCAGUUUUAUCACAAAUGGGAACAGAUGACAAACUCCAUCCGAUAGCUUUUCAUUCAAGAAAAUUCUCAGCAGCCGAGAUCAAUUAUGAGAUCCACGAUAAAGAACUUCUUGCGAUCGUGGAUUCCUUUCAAGAAUGGCCUCAUUAUCUAGAAGGCGCUUCUAGUCCAGUCACUGUGUAUACAGAUCACAAGAACCUCGAGUAUUUCAUGUCAGCAUGCGUGUUGAAUCGUCGUCAAGCUCGUUGGAGUAUGUCUUUGUCAAGAUUCGAGUUCAUUAUCACUUAUCGACCAGGAAAACAACAAGGUUUAUCCGAUGCCCUAUCUAGACGUUCUUAUUUUGCACCAAAAGAAGGAGAUGCAGCUUUUGAGCAACAAAGAACGGUCCUCUUGAAACCGGAGCAAUUUCAUCUCCGAGCAAUGAAAUCAACAUUGACGGUUGAUUCAACUUUUCUCAAGCAAAUCCAGUCCAGUAUGUCCUCAGACCCUCUUGUUUAUGAUAUCGAGAAUAAUUCUUCCAAGUCUCAUGAUCCUUCUAAGUUUGAGUUCAAGAAUAAUCUAUUAUAUUUUGAAGGACGCCUAUAUGUUCCAGAAGGAGAAGCACGUUUACGUGUUCUUCAAGCACGUCAUGACUUUCCAGCAGCAGGGCACUUUAGAUAUAAUAAGACUUUGAAACUUAUAUCAAGAGAUUUUUGGUGGCCACAAAUGUGGAAGUCAGUCAAAGACUUUGUACAAUCAUGUGAUAUUUGUUCAAGAUCAAAAAUUCCUCGUCAUCGACCUUACGGACUUCUUCAGCCAUUACCUAUCCCAGAACAACCAUGGUCUUCUGUUUCUAUGGAUUUCAUCACAGAUCUUCCAAGCUCAAGAUCUUAUGAUUCUAUAUUUGUGAUAGUAGAUCGUUUCACCAAGAUGGCACAUUUUGUGCCAUGUACAAAAUCUAUCACAGGUGAAGAAACAGCUAAGCUUUUCAUUGAUAAUAUCUAUCGCUAUCAUGGAUUACCUAAAGAUAUCAUAUCGGAUAGGGAAACUCAAUUUGUGUCAAGAUUUUGGAGGACCCUUUUUAAGAUUUUAAAAGUGGACAUAAAGCUAUCUUCGGCUUUCCAUCCUCAAACUGAUGGACAAACAGAGCGCGUAAACCAAGUCUUGGAGCAAUAUUUAAGGUGUACUAUCAACUACCAACAAGAUGAUUGGACAACCUUUCUGCCAUUGGCAGAGUUUGCUUAUAAUAAUACGGUAUAUUCUUCCACGCAACAAACACCUUUCUUUGCCAAUUAUGGCUAUCAUCCACGACUUGAUACUUUUGAUUUUUCAAAAGUUGAUAAUCCUGCAGCAGAAGAUAUGGCAAAUCGGUUGUCAGAGUUACAUGCAAUAAUGAAGACACAAUUGAAGGAAGCUCAAGAACGACAAAAGAUAAACGCAGAUCUAUAUCGUAAGGAGCAACCACAAAUCAACGUGGGUGAUAAGGUAUGGCUACUUCGUCGCAAUAUCAAAACUACUCGACCUUGUGACAAGUUGGACUGUCCUAGGUUUGGCCCCUUUUCUGUUUCUGAACAGAUCAACCCAGUUGCAUAUCGGUUACAUCUUCCAGAGUCAAUGAAGAUCCAUCCUGUAUUCCACGUAUCUCUUCUUGAACCAUAUAAGACAGUGGAUAUACAAGGAAGAAGACAAAUGCCACCGCCUCCUAUAGAAGUAGAUAAUAAUGAAGAAUUUGAGGUGGAAGAGAUAUUAGACUCAAGGCGGCGCCGAAAUAAGCUGGAAUAUCUUGUUCAUUGGCGCGGAUAUGAUAUUAGUGAGCGCACAUGGGAGCCAUCCAGGAAUCUAGCAAAUGCAUCCGCUAAAGUCAAAGUUUUUCAUCAACGACAUCCAUCAAAACCAAGAUGAAAACCUCUCUUAUAAAAGAAACAAGAUUGAGGCAAGAUAACAUUCAAUUUCCUAUCCUUGUUUGUAACUUCUUUGCAUUUGUGACGCUAAUUAGAUGGAGAGCCAACAACCAGCGGAUUCAACUCAAGAACCUUCGUUUGCUGACUUACCGGAUGAGAAAUUGCGAUCGUCACAACCUUCAAGACGACGCAACCGAGAUGAAGACCCUCAAGAACGACAUGUUCUUCCUCGAAUAGAUGGUGAGAUACAACGCGUUUGGUAUCACGACCUUGGAAGAGAUUCUCGAUGUUUGGUGAUAUUAUUGGAGAUAGGAACGACUCCUGAUGGUGUUUCAAAUGUAUUAUUUGAAGGAAGUUAUGAAGGCCUCAACAGUGAUCAAAUAACAGGGUGGUCUUCUCGCCCUGAAAUGGGACACUAUCGAUGGCUAAGAGGACCCAUCAACUAUCUUCGAAGAGAACAAAGAUCAGAGUAUGUAGCAAAUACAAUGCGCCGCAUAUUAGAUUUUCUCAAUAUAUAAUCACCGCUCCUCGUGGAACUCGUCUCUAGAAGUGGAGGUAAUGUCACGGACAUACAUAUAAUUACCUAUAUGAAUAGAUAAAAGUAUGUAAAAGUAGAUAAAAGUAGGUUAAUUGUGUAAUAUCUUCUAGAGAAGCUUCUUAGAAGCUUCAUAGACGCUGCUUUGACUUUAUAGGAGUCUAUAGUUGACUUUUAGGUUAGAAACUUGGUCAACAAGUUAGCCAUGUGCCACACAUGUUGGAAGCUUAAAGAACAAGCUAACUACGUGGUCCAUCCAUAGAAAACUUGCCUUGCAAGCAAAGGCAUGUGGCCUAGAAAGUCAACAUAUAUUGGAGGUCUUAUAGAACAUCGCCACGUGGCC